This 662-nucleotide long non-coding RNA is filed under the name Manihot esculenta (cassava). RNAcentral describes it as "long non-coding RNA (MESC_LNC006888)". Lineage: Eukaryota; Viridiplantae; Streptophyta; Magnoliopsida; Malpighiales; Euphorbiaceae. The record is from RNAcentral.
UGUCGCUAAAUUCAUUACAAAUUUAUCGUUACAACACGUUGGUCGAAAAUUGAUCGCUGGUCGAUAAUAAAUUUAUAAGUAAAUUAGUCACAAUGUAUGUGCUAUAUAAACGCUAAAUACUAUUUUUUUAGUCGGUAUUUCGUUGCGAAUGGAUUGUAAAGGAGUGCUAAACCGCCACUUAACCCAACAUUGCUCACAGCAAAACAACCCGCAAGACCCAACACUACCUUUACUCGAUUCAUCCUACUCCUAUCAACUUUAGUUUCAAUAAGAAAAAUAAAAUUUGGCUCCUUUGAACUUAUAAUAUCCCGGAAGACUCAACUGUCCGUGAGACAACCAACCCAUGACAGUUCCAAUUGAGACAACUCAUGGCAAUCCGCAGGCCUGCAUAACAGGUCCCGCCGUUUCUUCGACUACAAGAAGGCCUGAACCCAAACUGCGAAUACAAUGUUUCUUUGUUGUUGGUUUACUACCUUCAUCGUGGUUAUUUGAAGCAGCUAUAGAAAUGUCACCAUCAUCCAAUUCCGUAAUGGUUACCCCUGAUCUCUUGCUACUAGCUAACCUUUUCCACUUUACUCUGUUAUGGCUUGCAUUUUCUAUAUGCGCAGGUUCUUGUGAGCUUGGUUCGAGACUUUGAGUAUCAUCAGCAACCUUAGGAGAAG